Molecule: ribosomal RNA, 301 nt
Filed under: uncultured bacterium
Lineage: Bacteria
Description: partial 16S ribosomal RNA
Rfam family: Bacterial small subunit ribosomal RNA
Source: RNAcentral
AGUAGCCACGGGAAUACGAAGGGUGCAAGCGUUACUCGGAAUUACUGGGCGUAAAGCGUGCGUAGGUGGUUGUUUAAGUCUGCUGUGAAAGCCCUGGGCUCAACCUGGGAAUUGCAGUGGAUACUGGGCGACUAGAGUAAGGUAGAGGAUAGUGGAAUUUCCGGUGUAGCAGUGAAAUGCGUAGAGAUCGGAAGGAACAUCUGUGGCGAAGGCGACUAUCUGGGCCAUUACUGACACUGAGGCACGAAAGCGUGGGGAGCAAACAGGAUUAGAUACCCCUGUAGUCCCUGUCUCUUAUACA